RNAcentral lists this ribosomal RNA (659 nucleotides) under Colias alexandra alexandra. RNAcentral's name for it is "partial large subunit ribosomal RNA". The record is from RNAcentral. Lineage: Eukaryota; Metazoa; Arthropoda; Insecta; Lepidoptera; Pieridae.
AUUUUUGCCGAAUUCCUUUUUAUUAAUUUUAAUUAAUUUUAUUUUAUUUUUUUUUUAUAUACUAAUUUUAUCAUUAUAACUAAUUUUUUAUUAUUAAAAAUUAUUUUUUUAUAUAAAUUUAAAUAUAAAUUUAAAUUUUAAAAUAAAUAAAAUUAUUUAUAAAAAAUUAUAAUUUAUAAAAAAUAUAAAUUUUAAAAUAUUUAAAUAAUUUAUUAAUAUUAUAAAAAUUUAAUUUAAAGCUUAUCCCUUAAAAUAUUUAAUUAAAUAUAUAAUUUUAUAUAACAAAUUUAAAAAAUUAUUAAAUUAAUUUAAAAUUAAAUUUUUUUCUAAAAAAACUAGAUAUUUUUAAAAACGAUUAACAUUUCAUUUCAAAUUAAUUAUUUAAAAUAAUUAUGCCACAUUAACUUUAAUAAUUAACUAUCUCUUUUAAAUUCGAGAUAUUUUUAUUUAAAAAUAUUUUAUUAAUAAACUCUGAUACACAAGAUACAAUAAAUUAAAUUUACUUAAAUAAUAAUCCAUAUUUAACUUUAUUUCAAAAUUCUUUCACAAUACUAUUAAACUAUAAAUUAAUAAAUUUUUUCUAAAAAAUACUUUAACCCCCAUUAAUUAUUUUUUAUAAUUAUUUUUAUUAUUUAUUUUAUUAUAUUAAUUUUCCCCCA